ACUACAGAGAGAACCCCUUCCUGACAAACUAACUGAGCCGCAUUUUUAUUACGUGAUUAUGAAAAUAACAGUGCGUAGAGCGUGUCAAAAAUGUGAGUUAUUUAUUCUGUAAAAAUAAGUCUAACUUAGUUAACUUACAUGCGACGGAACGUUAGUAGGAGAAAAGAAAGAAUCAAACUGCUAUUGACUAAGUUACAGAGACUGAAAUGAAUGAGCAGCCUACAAAAAGAGUAUCUGCGUGAUUUAGUGUCUUAUUUUGUCAAUAUUCCGUAUUUGAUUUUAAUUAAGUAACACGCGCUUCACUUCGCCUGCGGGAAUGAUUUAACAACCUGGAAAGCUUUUAGACGUUUUCAGGGAUGUUUGCCAGGGAACAUUAACGCUCACUGACCGACCGCCUUUAAGAUUGAUAGUAGCGAAGAAAGCUCGCGCACGACUGACUGGAAGAACGCUAUCUUGAGAAAGCGCGUGAUCCCGCUUCACAGUCAAACAGCCAGAAAAGCUUCAGGAUCUUCUCAAGGUCUGCAGCUGCUCUUCAAACAGAUCGACGGACUUCACAUAAAACAGGUGGUGUAAUUCCACACUUCUCUGUGCCUGAGUUCUGUGGGGGUAGUAGUGGAGUUGGUGUCUUUGUCUAACAGGGCAGAUGGUUCCCAGGAUGCAGUGGGGUCAUGGUUUGGUCUCCUCCAGCUCUUCACAGGUCGUGCAGACUCCAGUAUCUCUCAGGAAGAGGGCAGGUUGAGUCUGUUCAAUGGGACCCUUAGGAGCCCUCCUGCACCCAACGCUGAAAGACCCUGAAAGAACCCCAAGCUUUACAUUCAGUCAAUAGUUCAUAGUCCACACCUUUAGCAGCUCAAGUCAA
Molecule: long non-coding RNA, 859 nt
Organism: Carassius auratus (goldfish)
Lineage: Eukaryota; Metazoa; Chordata; Actinopteri; Cypriniformes; Cyprinidae
Exons: 3
Source: RefSeq, a predicted model, not a curated record